Molecule: ribosomal RNA, 110 nt
Filed under: Prolemur simus (greater bamboo lemur)
Lineage: Eukaryota; Metazoa; Chordata; Mammalia; Primates; Lemuridae
Source: RNAcentral
UCUACGGCCAUACCACCCUGAACAUGCCCGAUUCUGUCUGAUCUCAGAAGUUAAGCAGGGUCAGGGCUGGUUAGUAUUUGGAUGGGUAAAAACAAUGAAUGAUGUAAGAU